RNAcentral lists this ribosomal RNA (439 nucleotides) under uncultured bacterium. RNAcentral's name for it is "partial 16S ribosomal RNA". It matches the Rfam family "Bacterial small subunit ribosomal RNA", at positions 339 to 795 of the family's 1533-position model. The record is from RNAcentral.
CUACGGGGUGCUGCAGUGAGGAAUAUUGCACAAUGGAGGAAACUCUGAUGCAGCAACGCCGCGUGGAGGAUGACGCAUUUCGGUGUGUAAACUCCUUUUAUAUGUCAAGAAAAUGACGGUAGCAUAUGAAUAAGCUCCGGCUAACUCCGUGCCAGCAGCCGCGGUAAUACGGAGGGAGCAAGCGUUGCUCGGAAUCACUGGGCGUAAAGGACGCGUAGGCGGGAUAGAAAGUCAGGUGUGAAAUCCUAUGGCUCAACCAUAGAACUGCACUUGAAACUUCUAACCUAGAGUAUGGGAGGGGAAGAUGGAAUUAGUGGUGUAGGGGUAAAAUCCGUAGAUAUCACUAGGAAUACCAAAAGCGAAGGCGAUCUUCUGGAACAAUACUGACGCUAAGGCGUGAAAGCGUGGGGAGCACACAGGAUUAGAUACCCGCGUAGUC